CUCGUUUCAUCUAAUCUCACGUCAUUCUCUCUCUCUCUCUCUCUUUGAGCCCCAAUUCUCUUUCUCACCAUGGUCACAAUAAUGGGUGAGUGGCACCUUUGGUAGUUGGUUGUGGUUGAACGGAUGGGAAGGCUCCGUGACGGUGACAGGGACGUGGGGUUGGGUUUGAAAUGGGCGUCAGGACUUAGCCAAAGUAGGCUACAUUGUGCGGUGAAAAUGCUAGAAGCAAAACCACUUUAUUGUUAUUUUGUCAAUUAUGAUACACGAGUAAUUUUUAUUUUUAUUUUUUUGAAUUAAUCAAUUGCCUAGGGUUCAUAGGUGUAUGUUUCUUAAUAUAAAUUUUCUCUCUACAUUGUUCAAUUUACUUGUGGUAAAACGAGGGAGAGACCUUAAGAAUGUAAUGAAGACUUGAGACAUAGAUGCAUUCAUACUCUGCCUUUUCUACUUUGCUUUACAUUUUUACUAAAUCUUUAUAUGGUUUGGUUGAAGAUGAACACGCAGGGGAGGUGAAGGCAUUUUCUAUUAUCUUCUCUUUCUAAUAGGGUUCCUCCAUAAGAAGAUGACAGGCUCCAAUCCACCUCACUCAUUCAAGAAGGACCCAAAAGAAGAAUAACCUAAGAGUGGGUUGUUGGAAAAAAAAAUUCCAACUUUGGG
This 654-nucleotide long non-coding RNA is filed under the name Olea europaea subsp. europaea. Lineage: Eukaryota; Viridiplantae; Streptophyta; Magnoliopsida; Lamiales; Oleaceae. The record is from RNAcentral.